GAUGAACGCUAGCGGCAGGCUUAACACAUGCAAGUCGAGGGGUAUAGUUCUUCGGAACUAGAGACCGGCGCACGGGUGCGUAACGCGUAUGCAAUCUACCUUUUGCAGAGGGAUAGCCCAGAGAAAUUUGGAUUAAUACCUCAUGGUAUGUGAGAAUGGCAUCAUUUUCACAUUAAAGUCACACAGGCAAAAGAUGAGCAUGCGUCCCAUUAGCUAGUUGGUAAGGUAACGGCUUACCAAGGCAACGAUGGGUAGGGGUCCUGAGAGGGAGAUCCCCCACACUGGUACUGAGACACGGACCAGACUCCUACGGGAGGCAGCAGUGAGGAAUAUUGGUCAAUGGACGCAAGUCUGAACCAGCCAAGUAGCGUGAAGGAUGAAGGUUCUAUGGAUUGUAAACUUCUUUUAUAUGGGAAUAAAACCACUUACGUGUAGGUGUCUGUAUGUACCAUAUGAAUAAGGACCGGCUAACUCCGUGCCAGCCGCCGCCGUAAGAC
RNAcentral lists this ribosomal RNA (497 nucleotides) under uncultured bacterium. RNAcentral's name for it is "bacterial SSU rRNA". It matches the Rfam family "Bacterial small subunit ribosomal RNA", at positions 28 to 526 of the family's 1533-position model. The record is from RNAcentral.